This 576-nucleotide ribosomal RNA is filed under the name uncultured bacterium. Its description in RNAcentral is "bacterial SSU rRNA". It matches the Rfam family "Bacterial small subunit ribosomal RNA", at positions 102 to 674 of the family's 1533-position model. The record is from RNAcentral.
ACGGGUGAGUAAUACAUCGGAACGUAUCCUGGAGUGGGGGAUAGCCCGGCGAAAGCCGGAUUAAUACCGCAUACGCUCUGAGGAGGAAAGCGGGGGACCUUCGGGCCUCGCGCUCAAGGGGCGGCCGAUGGCGGAUUAGGUAGUUGGUGGGGUAAAGGCCUACCAAGCCGACGAUCCGUAGCUGGUCUGAGAGGACGACCAGCCACACUGGGACUGAGACACGGCCCAGACUCCUACGGGAGGCAGCAGUGGGGAAUUUUGGACAAUGGGGGCAACCCUGAUCCAGCAAUGCCGCGUGUGUGAAGAAGGCCUUCGGGUUGUAAAGCACUUUUGUCCGGAAAGAAAUCAUCGGGGCCAAUACCCCUGGUGGAUGACGGUACCGGAAGAAUAAGCACCGGCUAACUACGUGCCAGCAGCCGCGGUAAUACGUAGGGUGCGAGCGUUAAUCGGAAUUACUGGGCGUAAAGCGUGCGCAGGCGGUGCUGUAAGACCGAUGUGAAGUCCCCGGGCUUAACCUGGGAACUGCAUUGGUGACUGCAGCGCUGGAGUAUGGCAGAGGGGGGUGGAAUUCCACGU